GACCCGUCUUGAAACACGGACCAAGGAGUUUUAUAUGAUCGCGAGUCAAAGGGCCUUACGAAACCCCANGGCGCAAUUAAUGUAAAGGUUURCUUUSGUARACUGAGAUGUGACCUCGUGGCAACACAGAGUGCAACAUCAACCCGUCUAAAGAUGUUCGCAUCUGGGCGGAGUUUGAGCGAUCAUGUAGAGACCCGAAAGAUGGUGAACUAUGCUUGUGCAGGUUGAAGCCAGGGGAAACUCUGAUGGAGGACCGCAGCGGUUCUGACGUGCAAAUCGAUCGUCGGACAUGAGUAUAGGGGCGAAAGACUAAUCGAACCAUCUAGUAGCUGGUUCCCUCCGAAGUUUCCCUCAGGAUAGCUGGCAUUUGUGAUUGUAGUUUAACCUGGUAAAGCGAAUGAUUAGAAGUAUUGGGGACGAAAUGUUCUCAACUUAUUCUCAAACUUUAAAUGGGUUCGAGGUGUGUCUYUCUUCAUUGAAGAUGUACUUUGAAUACRAAUGCCUAGUGGGCCAUUUUUGGUAAGCAGAACUGGCGAUGUGGGAUGAACCAAACAUCUGGUUAAGGUGCCUAACAUAACGCUCAUGAGAACCCACAAAAGGUGUUGKUUGAUAAAGACAGCAGGACGGUGGACAUGGAAGUCGUCAUCCGCUAAGGAGUGUGU
Molecule: ribosomal RNA, 662 nt
Filed under: Schmidtea polychroa
Lineage: Eukaryota; Metazoa; Platyhelminthes; Tricladida; Dugesiidae
Description: LSU rRNA
Rfam family: Eukaryotic large subunit ribosomal RNA
Source: RNAcentral